ACACAAUUUGAAACAUUGUUUGGUAGUUAGGGGGGUUUAGACAAGCCAUAUAUCUGCCUGCCAGUGAUGCUCAAUCAUACUUAAAUAAUAUGAGAGUUAAAAGCACAACUAAAAAAGGCUAAAUGUAUUAUGUAGAAUAAUUUCUCUAUACCCCAGAGCUCAUCAGUGUUUUCCUAAAUCUUUAUUCUAGACUUAUUUUGAUAAGUUUGCCUGUAUGAUAAUCUUGGAAAACUGAAAAUCUC
This is a non-coding RNA of Pelobates cultripes (western spadefoot toad), 242 nucleotides long. The record is from the annotation of a GenBank genome assembly. NCBI's taxonomy places the organism in Eukaryota, Metazoa, Chordata, Amphibia, Anura, Pelobatidae.